GGUACUCUGGUGUUGUAAGUCGCUCUGGAUAAGAGCGUCUGCUAAAUGACGUAAA
Salmo salar (Atlantic salmon) is the source of this 55-nucleotide non-coding RNA. NCBI's taxonomy places the organism in Eukaryota, Metazoa, Chordata, Actinopteri, Salmoniformes, Salmonidae. The record is from Rfam.